GAUGAACGCUGGCGGCGUGCCUAAUACAUGCAAGUCGAGCGAACGGACGAGCAGCUUGCUUCUCUGAUGUUAUCGGCGGACGGGUGAGUAACACGUGGAUAACCUAUCUAUAAGACCGGGCUAACUUAGGGAAACCGGAGCUAAUACCGGAUAAUAUUUUGAACUGCAUGGUUCAGCAGUGAAAGACGGUCUUGCUGUUACUGAUAGAUGGAUCCGCGCUGCAUUAGCUAGUUGGUAAGGUAACGGCAUACCAAGGCAACGAUGGCUAGCCGACCUGAGAGGGUGAGCGGCCACACUGGAACUGAGACACGGUCCAGACUCCGACGGGAGGCAGCAGUAGGGAAUCUUCCGCAAUGGGCGAAAGCCUGACGGAGCAACGCCGCGUGAGUGAUGAAGGUCUUCGGAUCGUAGAACUCUGUUAUUAGGGAAGAACAUAUGUGUAAGUAACUGUGCACAUCUUGACGGUACCUAAUCAGAAAGCCACGGCUAACUACGUG
Molecule: ribosomal RNA, 497 nt
Filed under: uncultured bacterium
Lineage: Bacteria
Description: partial 16S ribosomal RNA
Rfam family: Bacterial small subunit ribosomal RNA
Source: RNAcentral